RNAcentral lists this transfer RNA (75 nucleotides) under bacterium. RNAcentral's name for it is "tRNA-Cys". It matches the Rfam family "tRNA". From Rfam's summary of the family: Transfer RNA (tRNA) molecules are approximately 80 nucleotides in length. Their secondary structure includes four short double-helical elements and three loops (D, anti-codon, and T loops). The record is from RNAcentral. RNAcentral also lists the same sequence under 2 other names.
GCGUCCGUGCCCGAGCGGCCCAAGGGAACGGCCUGCAAAGCCGUACAGUCAUCGGUUCAAAUCCGAUCGGGCGCU